Molecule: long non-coding RNA, 1369 nt
Organism: Lynx canadensis (Canada lynx)
Lineage: Eukaryota; Metazoa; Chordata; Mammalia; Carnivora; Felidae
Exons: 4
Source: RefSeq, a predicted model, not a curated record
GAGUAAACGUUAAUUCGGUGAAGGCUAAAGGUUGGGAGGAGUUGGGAGGGUGAGGAGUAACACUGAGUGUGAAAACUGGGGCAGGUGAAAACAAGGUCUUAAACAGAGUAGUGACAUGACCAGAUUCGUGUUAUUUGCAAGAUCCUUCUCACUGCAGUGUGGAGAACAGACUGAACAGGGUAGAAUAGUGGGUGUGGGAGGCACCAUUUCAAACAGGGCAAAUACAAAUGGUGGGUAUCACAUCAGUUGACUGGGUGUAAUAAUAACUAACACUGAACACCACGUACCAGGAUCUGUAUCAAGUGCUUUGCUUAGAUUAUUAACUCGUGUAACCCUCACAACACCCUGUGAGAUCGGUACUGUUUUCAUCCCCACUUUACAGAUGGGAAACCUGACGGGCAAAAGAGAGGAAGUAACUUUUCUAUGAUCACACAGCUAGAAAGUGGCAGAGCUAGGAUUCACCUUAGGCAUUCUGACUCAGAAGUCUGUCUCCUCAUUAGUAUACUAUGCAGAAAAGUAGAAAAGAUCUUACGGGGGCUGGAUUUUUGUCCCCCAAGAGAUACAUUGAAGUCCUAACCCUUGGUACCUGUGAAGAUGGCAUUAUUUGGAAAUAGGGUCUUUCAGGUGUAAUCGAGAAGGUCACACUGGAUGAGGAUGGCCAAUGAGGUGUCCAUAUAUGGAGAGAGAGACACACACAGGGGGAAGAAGGCCAAAUGACAACAGAGGCAGAGAGUGCAGGGAUGUAGCUGGACACCGGAGAAUGCCAGGAAUUGCCGGUAACUACCAGAAGCUGCGAGAGGCAUAGAUGAGAACGUUCCUCAGAGGCCCCAAAAGGAACCAACUCUGCUGACGCCUUGAUUUUGGACUUCCGGUCCCCAGAACUGUGGCUGUAACUGUGGAUAAAAUCCAAAUUGGAAUGUGUUGAGAAGUGAGUGGAAAGUGAUAAAAUGGAGAUCACCGUAGCAAAUACGAUAAUAAUGAAAAAGACGGAGAUCUGCGAGAAUUACCAAAACGUGACACCUCUAGAGACACAAAGCGAGCUGUUGGAAAAAUGGCACCAUUAGACUUGCUUGACACAGGAUUGCCACAAACCUCUAAUUUGUAAAAAACACAGUAUCGGGGAAGUGAAAUAAAGGGAAGCAGUGAAGCAAGGUGUGUCUAACGUUGCUUGGCUUUUUACAGAAACUGACACGUUGCUUCUAAAGGAAAUGGACCCAGAAUUGCCAAAAUGAUCUUGAAAGAGAAUACAAUGCCCAGACCUUACUCCAGACCUGCAUUAAUAUUUUCCAGAAGUGAAGUUCACCAGUGUCUUUUCCAAAAUUUCUGCAGAGACAGAGCACGAGCUGGGGAGGGGCAGAGAGCGAGGGAG